AACGAACGCUGGCGGCAUGCCUAACACAUGCAAGUCGAACGAGACCUUCGUGUCUUGUGGCGCACGUGUGCGUAACGCGUGGGAACCUGCCCUUAGGUUCCGAAUAACUCCCCGAAAGGGGUGCUAAUACCACUUAAUGUCUUCGGACCAAAGAUUUAUCGCCUUUGGGUGGGCGCGCGUUGGUUUCGCCGGUUGGUAGUGUAAAAGCCUAGCAUGGCGACGUUCCUUAGCUGGUCGGGGAGGAUGGUCAGCCCCACUGGGAAUGAGACACGGCCCAGACUCCGACGGGAGGGAGCAGUAGGGAAUAUUGGACAAGGGGGGAAAGCGUGAUCCGGCAAUGAGGGGUAAGAGAGGAAGGGCGUAGGGUUGUAAAGCUCUUUGACCCGGGACGAUAAUGACAGUACCGGGAGAAGAAGCUCCGGCUAACUACGUG
RNAcentral lists this ribosomal RNA (433 nucleotides) under uncultured bacterium. RNAcentral describes it as "partial 16S ribosomal RNA". It matches the Rfam family "Bacterial small subunit ribosomal RNA", at positions 29 to 507 of the family's 1533-position model. The record is from RNAcentral.